RNAcentral lists this ribosomal RNA (164 nucleotides) under uncultured bacterium. Its description in RNAcentral is "partial 16S rRNA". It matches the Rfam family "Bacterial small subunit ribosomal RNA", at positions 355 to 511 of the family's 1533-position model. The record is from RNAcentral.
UAGGGAAUCUUCCACAAUGGGCGAAAGCCUGAUGGAGCGACGCCGCGUGUGUGAUGAAGGGUUUCGGCUCGUAAAACACUGUUGUAAGAGAAGAAUGACAUUGAGAGUAACUGUUCAAUGUGUGACGGUAUCUUACCAGAAAGGAACGGCUAAAUACGUGCUAG